GACGAACGCUGGCGGCAUGCCUAACACAUGCAAGUCGAACGGAACUUGUUGAAUGAAGUUUUCGGAUGGAUUUUAGCAAGUUUAGUGGCGGACGGGUGAGUAACGCGUGAGCAACCUGCCUUUCAGAGGGGGACAACAGUUGGAAACGACUGCUAAUACCGCAUAAUGUAUCGGAACCGCAUGGCUCUGAUACCAAAGAUUUUAUCGCUGAAAGAUGGGCUCGCGUACGAUUAGAUAGUUGGAGAGGUAACGGCUCCCCAAGGCGACGAUCGGUAGCCGGACUGAGAGGUUGAACGGCCACAUUGGGACUGAGACACGGCCCAGACUCCUACGGGAGGCAGCAGUGUGGAAUAUUGCACAAUGGGGGAAACCCUGAUGCAGCGACGCCGCGUGAGUGAAAGAAGUAUUUCGGUAUGUAAAAGCUCUAUCAGCAGGGAAGAAAAAUGACGGUACCUGACUAAAGAAGCCCCGGCUAACUACGUGCCAGCAGCCGCGGU
This 497-nucleotide ribosomal RNA is filed under the name uncultured bacterium. RNAcentral's name for it is "bacterial SSU rRNA". It matches the Rfam family "Bacterial small subunit ribosomal RNA", at positions 28 to 521 of the family's 1533-position model. The record is from RNAcentral.